Hydra vulgaris (swiftwater hydra) is the source of this 675-nucleotide long non-coding RNA. RefSeq lists it as uncharacterized. The record is from RefSeq and is a predicted model, not a curated record. NCBI's taxonomy places the organism in Eukaryota, Metazoa, Cnidaria, Hydrozoa, Anthoathecata, Hydridae.
UAUCAAUUUACCCGUACAAAAUAGGUGUAGUUUAUGCUUUUAAAUAUAAAUUUAUGCCAGCGCAAACAAACAGUAAUUAACGUGAUAAAACGAAAAAAAAUUAAAAACUUUUUAAAAAUAAAAAAAGCUGAAAGAUGAUGUCAGUCUCCGUUGCGAACAAUUUUCAGAAGAAUCAAUCUUUAAAAGAUCGUGAUUAUACAUCAAAAAGUGAUAAAGAUUUAGAUUAUGGAAUUCAGCUGGUUAAAGACAACGAUUUAAAAAAAUUUGAAGAACUUAUAAAAAAGAAACCUAAAUUACUCUCAGAAGUUGAUGAAUAUGGUCUUAGCAUUUUGAGUACAAUUAUUUCAACUGGAAACUUGAGUGCAAAAGAAAUAGUAAAGAAUAAUACACCCUUAUCUAAACAAACUUUUUAUGAAGAUUUCGAGUAUGCAUUAUAUUUUGCUGCUUCCGAGGAUAGAAUGUCAUUUUCAAAUAUCCGUGAACUACUUGGAUAUGUAUUUACAGAUGGUGAAGGUUGGGGAGUAUUAUAACUAUAAUACUACUUGUGUAGCUGCGUUCUUUAUCUUUAUUUUUUAACGAUUUCUUUGCAUGUAAUUUUUCUUAUUGAUAUAUUUGUAAAUAUUGUAUUAAAUAUUGUAAUAAAUAAAUAAAAAAAAAUUCAUUCCUAUUAUUUAA